CUUGGCCGAGUGGUUAGGCACCGGUCUGCAAAACCGUUGACGGCGGUUCGAAUCCGCC
RNAcentral lists this transfer RNA (58 nucleotides) under Dysgonomonas gade. It matches the Rfam family "tRNA", at positions 8 to 63 of the family's 71-position model. From Rfam's summary of the family: Transfer RNA (tRNA) molecules are approximately 80 nucleotides in length. Their secondary structure includes four short double-helical elements and three loops (D, anti-codon, and T loops). The record is from RNAcentral. Lineage: Bacteria; Pseudomonadati; Bacteroidota; Bacteroidia; Bacteroidales; Dysgonomonadaceae. RNAcentral also lists the same sequence under 1 other name.